CGCUCAGUGCGUGGAUGCAGGAGAGAUUCAAGCAGCCUGAGUGCCCAGUCGGCAACAGAUGUGUGCCUGGUCUUUCUCACCCUUUUGCAUGGAUUGAAAGCGGGAGGAUGAAGCUACUCUGAUGGAGGUGUCCCCAUGUCUGAGUCUCAGAGAGGAGAGAAGACUCCACGACCACACACCUCACUCUGUGGCUCCUAAAUCCGGGCUCCGGGUCUUCGUUCGCGCCUCGUCACUCUGGAGACUCUGCGGGCGGCUUGCGGUUGCCGUAGGAACCUCGCCAGGGCCUCCGCGCGGCGCACGACUCCACGCGCGAAGAGUCGCGUUUUGGUCACCGAAAGACACCUGUCGCCAGCGGCGAGGGGCGGGGGCGUCGCGGCCCGGGUUAUUAUGCUUUCUUUUUAAUUGAGGUGUAACUUACAAACAGUACAACGUACAUCUUAAGAGUACAGCUCUGUGGAGCGCGUUGGCGCAAGCCUGUAAUCCGGCACUUUGGGAGGUCAAGGCGGGAGGCUCCCUUGAGUCCAAGAGUUCGAGACCAGCCUGGGCAACGUAGCGACAGCCUGUCUCUUAGAAAAAAAUAACAGUGUAGUGGCAUGCACCUGUAGCCCCAGCUACUUGGGAGGCUGAGGCGGGAGGAUGGCUUGAGCCCAGGAGUUCGAGGCUGCAGGGAGCAGUGAUUACUGUCACUGCACUCCUCCUCCAGCCUGAGCAACAAAGCAAGACUCUGCCUUUUAAAAAAAUUAAAAGAAAAAAAAAAACACACACACAGUGCUAGAAAAAAUAAAAAUAAAUAAAAAGAAGAAGACCAGGCGCAGUGACUCACGCCUAUAAUCCCAGCACUUUGGGAGGCCAAGGCGGAUGGAUCACGAAGUUAGGUGUUCUAGACCAGCCUGGCCAAUAUGGUGAAACCCUGUCUCUACUAAAAAUACAAAAAAAUUAGCUGGGCAUGGUAGUGUGCACCUGUAAUCACAGCUACUCGGGAGCCUGAGGCAGGGGAAUCACUUGAACCCAGGAGGUUGAGGUUGCAGUGAACUGAGAUCAUGCCACUGCACUCCAGGCUGGGUGACAGAGCAAGAAUCUGUCUCACCAAAAAAAAAAAAAAAGGUACAGCUUGAUCAAUUUUUCAUACCUACUUAUAAAACCCGUGUUACCACUAUGGUGAUCAAGACAUGAAGACUUCCAGGUCCUAGAAGUCUCACAUCUCCAGGAAUAAACCAGUGAGGGGGAGGUCACCAUCCUAAACCCUGGAGUUGUGUGCUUUUGCCCCUCUCUGCUCUG
Callithrix jacchus (white-tufted-ear marmoset) is the source of this 1278-nucleotide long non-coding RNA. RefSeq lists it as uncharacterized. Lineage: Eukaryota; Metazoa; Chordata; Mammalia; Primates; Cebidae. The record is from RefSeq and is a predicted model, not a curated record.